Molecule: non-coding RNA, 54 nt
Organism: Salmo salar (Atlantic salmon)
Lineage: Eukaryota; Metazoa; Chordata; Actinopteri; Salmoniformes; Salmonidae
Source: Rfam
CGCACUAACUACUGUAAGUCGCUCUGGAUAAGAGCGUCUGCUAAAUGACUAAAA